Molecule: ribosomal RNA, 330 nt
Filed under: uncultured bacterium
Lineage: Bacteria
Description: bacterial SSU rRNA
Rfam family: Bacterial small subunit ribosomal RNA
Source: RNAcentral
UUCGUAGGCGGUGCGGCAAGUUGGGAGUGAAAUCUCUGGGCCUAACCCAGAGGCUGCUUCCAAAACUGCUGUGCUUGAGUGUGGGAGAGGCGCGUGGAAUUGCAGGUGUAGCGGUGAAAUGCGUAGAUAUCUGCAGGAACACCCGUGGCGAAAGCGGCGCGCUGGACCACAACUGACGCUGAGGAACGAAAGCUAGGGGAGCAAACAGGAUUAGAUACCCUGGUAGUCCUAGCCCUAAACGAUCAGGACUUGGGGUGCCGCCCGUUCGGGCGUCGUCCCGGAGCUAACGCGUUAAGUCCUGCACCUGGGGAGUACGGUCGCAAGACUGAA